This 146-nucleotide ribosomal RNA is filed under the name Helianthemum squamatum. Its description in RNAcentral is "partial 5.8S ribosomal RNA". It matches the Rfam family "5.8S ribosomal RNA". Rfam says of the family: 5.8S ribosomal RNA (5.8S rRNA) is a component of the large subunit of the eukaryotic ribosome. The record is from RNAcentral. Lineage: Eukaryota; Viridiplantae; Streptophyta; Magnoliopsida; Malvales; Cistaceae. RNAcentral also lists the same sequence under 4 other names.
AUAUCUCGGCUCUCGCAUCGAUGAAGAACGUAGCGAAAUGCGAUACUUGGUGUGAAUUGCAGAAUCCCGUGAACCAUCGAGUCUUUGAACGCAAGUUGCGCCCCAAGCCGUCAGGCCGAGGGCACGCCUGCCUGGGCGUCACGCAA